Molecule: long non-coding RNA, 2411 nt
Organism: Melospiza melodia melodia
Lineage: Eukaryota; Metazoa; Chordata; Aves; Passeriformes; Passerellidae
Exons: 3
Source: RefSeq, a predicted model, not a curated record
UACACGGCACCGCAGCAGGCGAACACUGCAGCACCUUGCAUGUGUCCUUCCGCGUCUCUCCCUCUGCCGGGCCUUGAUGUGGCACGGCCACAUCACCGGGAGAUCCCUCCGCAGCGCGUGAUGCUGCACAACCGAAACCUGAUAUCCCUCCGCGUUCUCGCCUUCCUCACUCCUAGCACUGUGGGACUACUUUGUGUCACGGUUCGUCCGCACAGCCACAUCCACGCACACAAAGAGGGGGAGGCUGGAGUAUGACAGCUGCUUUCAUAAAUACAGCACAGACAGAGAAUUAUUUUGCCCCCGCAAAUGCCAACCCUUGGAUCCCAACACAAAAAAUUGGAAGGGCUUUUUUACAGCUCAAGCAGCUUCUCCCUCACAGGCCAAAAUGGAAUCACCUCACGGAAUCGGAAAUGGAAUCACCUCACGGAAUCUGAAACGGAAUCACCUCACGGAAUCUGGAACGGAAUCACCUCACGGAAUCUGGAAUGGAAUCACCUCACAGAAUCUGGAAUGGAAUCACCUCAUGGGCCGAAAUGGAAUCACCUCACGGAAUCUGGAACGGAAUCACCUCACGGAAUCUGAAACGGAAUCACCUCAUGGAAUCUGAAACGGAAUCACCUCACGGAAUCUGGAAUGGAAUCACCUCACGGAAUCUGAGAUGGAAGUGAGGGCAAUGAGGAUCACCCUCAGGCCAAGCUGUGGGAUCAGCCCUUUCUGUGGGUUUUAAAUGAAUUCCCACUAAUGCAGCCUUAGAAAGCUGGGCCUUGCUCAGCCUUGGGUAAAGCCUUGCACAUUUUGUCCUUUUCUUGUUCCCUGUUCCACCACAAACCUCAGCUGGGGAAAGAAAAACCCAACAGAGCAAGCAAAGGAAGGGGCACCUGCAGCUGGAAAUGACAAAAAUCUCCUGUUCUAGGAGGAGAUUUAGGACUUGGAGCUCCCCAGGAACAGCCUCUGUUCCCGCUGUGCUGGGAGCCAGCAAUGAGCUCAGGCUGUGAGAUCAGAUUUUGCUGAGUCUACAGGGCCAGGCUCCUUCUUUCCUCUUUUCCAGGAGCUCCCCUCUCCAAGCCAUGCCUGGAUUUUUGAUUUCCUUGGGAAGCCUCGGCCCCCUCAGCAGCUCUGUGUCCGGGACACUCAGCUCUGCCAGCACAAACGCUGCUUUUGCCAUUCCCGUUCCUCCACCUGGGCCUUUGUGGGGUUCCUGGAACUGGGAGAGUUUCCUGGAAGAACAGGGCAGAAUGGUUUGUGCAGAAAGGGCUGCAGAGACAUCCAGGAGGCUGCUGGAACUCAGGGACAGCUCCUGGAAUUCUCUCUCCUGGUGGGGAUUUCUCUGGCUCGUGGUGAGCACCCAACGUGCUCUGGCUCCAGGGGAUGUUCAGGGAAAGAACCUGACCCUGUGCUGGCCAAAAGGAGCUGGAAAUUCAUGGAGGGAAUGCUGCAAAAAUGCACAGAUCAACGUGGUUUCCAUCUGGAUUUCAAGUUAAAGGGAUUUGGGACCAUCACCAUCAGGCCGAGCCUGUGCCCUUGCAGUUUUGGGGUGGGAAGAGCAGCUCAGAUGGAGCCAGAGCUGACUCUGGAUCUCUGCACAGCCCACGAUCGUGAAGAUGGUGAUGGAAAAACAAAAAACAAAAAGCAGCUUUGCCCUUGGGGCUGUUUGUCAGCCCUGGGUGGGGCCGGGAGGAGGCACUGCCAGCUCUCUCCAGAGCCAGUUCAUUCCUGGGAGAUUUUCUGGAAAACUCCAGAGGUUUGGGUCAGUCUCCAUCCUCCUGCUUUCUGGAGAGCUUCCCGCCCCUUGUGAGCCUGCACACGCCGAUUUUCCAUUCCUCUGGAAGCCACCAGAAACCCCAAAACAAGCCCAGAGCCUGGAUGAUGCUGGAUUUUCCUCUGAGCUCAUCGAGGAUGUCCAAAGCAGCACCAUCUGCAGAUGGGGCCAAGAAUCUGUAACGUCUCAAAGCUGAGCAAAAUAAAACGUGUGGGAGAGGAGAGCUCUUUUAUUAAUAGGAUCUGAGCCAUGGCAAGGCUGGGUCACCAGCAGGGACUGGCACCUUGGGACCAGGAUGGUUCUUCCAAGUAAGGGGCCUGCUCAAAACAGAGAAAUGGAAAAUAUUUCAGCUUGCAGCAGCAGGAGCUUCACUUUCUGCUGUUUGUUUGUGAGCUCCUCUCGUUUGUGAUGUCAGCUCCAGGCAGGAAAAAAAGGUGGAACGAACCUGGCAGUGCCCAGACUCCCAAAAAUCCCAAAAAAUAAUUUUCUGAUGCGUUUUUGAUUUUGUUUUCAGUCAGUAAAGCUUCAGUAAUAAUCCUGCUCCAGGCUGGGAGAUGUUUCCCCAUCAGCUCCUCCUGAAUUUGGGUUUUUUCAACAGGAACAAGCAAAAAUUAAAAAAAAAAAAAAUUAUAGUGAUAAUGAUUAUAAUAAG